UACGUAGGGGGCAAGCGUUGUCCGGAAUUAUUGGGCGUAAAGAGCGCGUAGGCGGUCCGGUAAGUCAGCUGUGAAAGUCAAGGGCUCAACCCUUGAAAGCCGGCUGAUACUGCCGGACUAGAGUCCGGAAGAGGCGAGUGGAAUUCCCGGUGUAGCGGUGAAAUGCGCAGAUAUCGGGAGGAACACCAAUGGCGAAGGCAGCUCGCUGGGACGUUACUGACGCUGAGACGCGAAAGCGUGGGGAGCAAACAGG
RNAcentral lists this ribosomal RNA (253 nucleotides) under uncultured bacterium. Its description in RNAcentral is "partial 16S ribosomal RNA". It matches the Rfam family "Bacterial small subunit ribosomal RNA", at positions 524 to 776 of the family's 1533-position model. The record is from RNAcentral.